CAGUCGCCGCGGUAAAACGGAGGGGGCUAGCGUUGUUCGGAAUUACUGGGCGUAAAGCGCACGUAGGCGGCUUUGUAAGUUAGAGGUGAAAGCCUGGGGCUCAACUCCAGAAUUGCCUUUAAGACUGCAUCGCUUGAACGUCGGAGAGGUGAGUGGAAUUCCGAGUGUAGAGGUGAAAUUCGUAGAUAUUCGGAAGAACACCAGUGGCGAAGGCGGCUCACUGGACGACUGUUGACGCUGAGGUGCGAAAGCGUGGGGAGCAAACAGGAUUAGAUACCCCGGUAGUCCCUGUCUCUUAUAC
RNAcentral lists this ribosomal RNA (301 nucleotides) under uncultured bacterium. RNAcentral's name for it is "partial 16S ribosomal RNA". It matches the Rfam family "Bacterial small subunit ribosomal RNA", at positions 509 to 807 of the family's 1533-position model. The record is from RNAcentral.